CCCUUAGAUGUUCUGGGCCGCACGCGCGCUACACUGACGAUGGCAACGAGUUUUUCCUUCGCCGAAAGGUGUGGGUAAUCUUUUGAAACAUCGUCGUGCUGGGGAUAGAUCAUUGCAAUUUUUGAUCUUGAACGAGGAAUUCCUAGUAAGCGCGAGUCAUCAGCUCGCGUUGAUUACGUCCCUGCCCUUUGUACACACCGCCCGUCGCUCCUACCGAUUGAGUGAUCCGGUGAGGCUUUGGGAUCUGAGCGGAAAGAGCGUUUCGCUGUUUCUGCUCGGAAAACUCAGUCGAACCUUAUCAUUUAGAGGAAGGAGAAGUCGUAACA
RNAcentral lists this ribosomal RNA (326 nucleotides) under uncultured eukaryote. RNAcentral's name for it is "partial 18S ribosomal RNA". It matches the Rfam family "Eukaryotic small subunit ribosomal RNA", at positions 1470 to 1796 of the family's 1831-position model. The record is from RNAcentral.